Stegodyphus dumicola is the source of this 225-nucleotide long non-coding RNA. NCBI's taxonomy places the organism in Eukaryota, Metazoa, Arthropoda, Arachnida, Araneae, Eresidae. The record is from RefSeq and is a predicted model, not a curated record.
AAACUUUCCUACAACUCAACUCCCUUUGUACAUUCUGUUUACUAUUUGAAACACGAUGGAGGUAAUUAAUGAAAGUGCAGCUCUUCUUUGCAAUGCAGAGGUUUUAGCAAUUUUGGAAAAUUCUAAAUCUGAUUUGAAAGGCUCAAAAUAUGGUGUUCAGAGUGCAAAUGAAAAAAACAAGCAAUUAAGUAACAAAGAAAAAGGCUUACAGCGUUUGAAUACAAU